RNAcentral lists this ribosomal RNA (467 nucleotides) under uncultured bacterium. Its description in RNAcentral is "partial 16S ribosomal RNA". It matches the Rfam family "Bacterial small subunit ribosomal RNA", at positions 28 to 507 of the family's 1533-position model. The record is from RNAcentral.
GACGAACGCUGGCGGCGUGCUUAACACAUGCAAGUCGAACGGAAAGGCCCUGCUUUUGUGGGGUGCUCGAGUGGCGAACGGGUGAGUAACACGUGAGUAACCUGCCCUUGACUUUGGGAUAACUUCAGGAAACUGGGGCUAUAACGGCUAAGAAUUUCUUGCGCCUCGUGGGGGAUGGGAAAGUUAGGGUGUUGGGGUUAGUUGUAGGGGUUUUCGGCCUGUUUGGGGGGGAGUGGGUUACCAAGGCUUUGCAGGGUAGCCGGCCUGGGAGGGGGGCCGGGCACAAUGGGACUGAGGUACGGCGCAGUCUCCUACGGGAGGCAGCAGUGGGGAAUAUUGCACAAUGGGCGGAAGCCUGAUGCAGCAGCGCCGCGUGCGGGAUGACGGCCUUCGGGUUGUAAACCGCUUUCGCCUGUGACGAAGCGUGAGUGACGGUAAUGGGUAAAGAAGCACCGGCUAACUACGUG